AUGGGGGACGUGCCGUCGAGGUGGCGAGGGUUGUGCAUGGAAGGUCCAAGCUUCAAGAAGAGCAGCUGCAACAAGAAACUCAUCGGUGCGCGGUACUACGGCGAUCAGCUCGGCUUGGCGGCGCCAAAUGCCUCCCUAGCCAGGGUGGCGCUGUCGACCGGCUCGCCUCGAGAUGACGUUGGUCACGGCACUCAUUGUGCGUCAACAGCCACGGGCGCGAUUGUGGAGGGUGCCGACUACUACGGCUUGGCUUGGGGCGCAGCCAAGGGCGGCGCGCCGGCCGCAUGCGUGGCCUCGUACAAGGUGUGUACCGAGGACGAGAACGGAUGCUCCGGCUCGGCGCUACUCAAGGCCAUCGAUGACGCAGUGAGUGACGGGGUGGAUGUGAUCUCCAUCUCCAUUGGCAAGACCGCUACCGAUACAACGCCAGACCUUCUCACCGAUCCUGUCGCACUCGGAGCAUUCCACGCACACCAGAGGGGCGUCCUAGUGGUCUGCUCGGCUGGCAACGAUGGGCCCGACCCAUCCACUGUCGUCAACUCCGCGCCGUGGAUCCUCACGGUUGCCGCCUCGACCAUCGACCGCGCCUUCCACUCCAGCAUUGUCCUCGGCAACAGGAAGGUCUUCAAGGGUGCUGCCAUAAACUUCUCCAACCGAAGCCUCGACAGAGAGCGCUACCCUAUGGUGUUUGGGGCCCAAGCGGCAACCCGGAGCACAACGGCGUCUAAGGCAAGCAACUGUUAUCCGGGAUCGCUGCGCAAGCGUAAGGUGGCCGGGAAGAUCUUGGUGUGCAUCGGCACAGACUCGAGGAUUACACGGCGGAUAAAGAAGCUUGUUGCGGAGGAUUCUGGGGCGAGGGGGCUAGUGUUGAUCGACGACAAGGCCAUGGAGGCACCGAUCGACACCGCUAGCUUCCCCUUCUCCCAGGUGGGCGCCGUUGCCGGUGCGCACAUACUGCAGUACAUUAAUUCCACCAAGAAUCCGACGGCUGUGAUCCUCCGCACAAAGGACGUCAGGUUGUUCAAGCCUGCGCCCGUGGUGGCGUCCUUCUCAGCGCGCGGCCCUGCUGCCAGCAUCCUCAAGCCCGAUCUGAUGGUGCCCGGGGUCAGCAUCCUCGCCGCGAUGCCGCCCAUGAACAUGGAGGACGUCCCCGCCGGCAAGAAGCCCUCGUCAUUCUCCAUCAAGUCCGGCACUUCCAUGGCUUGCCCGCACGUCGCCGGCGCCGGUGCUUUCCUCAAGUCGGCCCACCCGGGCUGGUCCCCAUCCAUCAUAAGAUCCGCUCUCAUGACCACAGCGACGGUGAGGAACAACCUUGGACAGCCGGUGGCGAGCAGCAGUGGCGCGGUGACCACCGGACACGACAUGGGUGCUGGCGAGAUCCUACCGCUUCGGGCGCUCAGUCCGGGCCUGGUGUUCGACACCACCACAAGGGACUACCUCAACUUCCUCUGCUACCAGGGCUACGAGGACAAGGUCAUCCGCAAGGUCACCGGCGACGCCCAGUUCACCUGCCCGCGUGGCGCACCCUCGCCGGACCUCAUCGCGAAGAGCGUCAACUACCCGUCCAUCUCGGUGCCACGGCUCGCGGCCGGGAAGCCGUUCGCAGUGUCGCGCACCGCCACGAACGUCGGGCAGUCUAACGCGACGUACGCGGUGACCGUCGAGGCGCCGCCGGGCCUCUUGGUGAAGGUGUCGCCUAAGCGGUUGCUGUUCUCUAGGCGAUGGGCCACGGCGUCAUACGAGGUGAGCUUCGCUCAAGCCGGGGCCAGGAAGGGGUACGCGUACGGCGCCGUCACCUGGUCGGAUGGCGUGCACUCGGUCCGGACGCCUUUCGCCGUUAAUGUCGUCUGA
RNAcentral lists this ribosomal RNA (1851 nucleotides) under Triticum aestivum (bread wheat). Its description in RNAcentral is "partial small subunit ribosomal RNA". The record is from RNAcentral. Lineage: Eukaryota; Viridiplantae; Streptophyta; Magnoliopsida; Poales; Poaceae.